GGGGUUUAUAAGUUUAUCAAAAGCUUCUAACUUUAUGAUUGGGAGUGUAGCGUCUCCCAAACCUCU
Molecule: transfer RNA, 66 nt
Filed under: Vorticeros sp. n. MW-2019
Lineage: Eukaryota; Metazoa; Platyhelminthes; Prolecithophora; Plagiostomidae
Description: tRNA-Ser
Source: RNAcentral